GCUGAGAGCAGAGCCUUCAGUGGAGCCCAGCGUCAACUGGGGGUGCCUUCCCUCUCUGAAGGAAUAUUUUCCUAAAGCACCAAUGUCACGCCAAGGUUUGAGAAAAUGGACAGUUUUGAACAUUUUUCAAGGCUAAGCUGAAAAGGGACUGGGGCAAGCCUUUGGGCACUGCAUUCUGAAGUUGACCUCAGAAUUUAAAACCAGUACCUUUCCAGAGCUGUUUGCUACAAACAUGAGCAUGGAAACCCCCUUUCCUGGCUAGAAUGAUAGAGUGUGACGCACAGUGGUUUGCAUCUUGUGGCUUCAUUAAACAGCGGAUUAAAUACUCUCUGGCUCCCUGACUGCCAUCGUUGGAGACUUCUCAUCCUCCAGCUGCAGCUGCAAGUCUCAGGGGCUGUUCCACAUCAUCUACUGAGCUAGUGGGUGGGAUGUGGGAGGAAGAAUUCAGCUGGGGUUGGGGCCUAUCCAUCUUUAUUGGACAACUGAUUUUCUGUUUCCCUUUGUUAGAUUUUGUUUUCUACCCUGC
This is a long non-coding RNA of Heterocephalus glaber (naked mole-rat), 526 nucleotides long. NCBI's taxonomy places the organism in Eukaryota, Metazoa, Chordata, Mammalia, Rodentia, Bathyergidae. The record is from Ensembl.